This 1853-nucleotide unclassified non-coding RNA is filed under the name Hevea brasiliensis (rubber tree). Lineage: Eukaryota; Viridiplantae; Streptophyta; Magnoliopsida; Malpighiales; Euphorbiaceae. The record is from RNAcentral.
CAUGAUCAAAGUGCUAUCCUUGUAAGAUUCUUCACUUAGGGUAUCCAACUCUGAAAUAGCUUCAUCAAAAGCUUGCUUUGCCAGGUGGCAGGCCCUGCAGAAAAAAUAAAAAUAAAAAUCUGCGUGAAAGGAAUCUAUUUGCAUGAGCACCUCACUCAUAUAAGCACAAGUAUUUUGCUUACCUUUCAGGUGAAUUCAUUAUCUCAUAAUAGAAGACAGAAAAGUUAAGAGCCAAACCCAAUCGAAUGGGAUGGGUAGGAGCUAAAUCACUCUCUGCAGUUGUUAAUGCAGUCUGCAAAAACCAAAAUAUAUAUGAAGUAGAAAUUGUAAAAUCAAACUUAUUCAUUAGAAAGAGUGAAGUUGUGAAGAAACAAAGAAAAAGAAAGGAUGAAAUAGGGAAAUACAUAUGCAAAAACAAGUCACAAUUUCCCUUCACCUUCUCGAACCAAACUACAAAGUCCAUAAAUUAUGUAUUAAAAAAGGAGUUAACACAUUGUGGCUCUCCCUUUUUCUACUGACUUAGUCUUUCAUUCCAUGGCUAUAUUAAGUUAAGAAUCCCAAGUCAAACAUGAAGGAUUGAGUGAAGAAUGCUCAAUAACAUGGAUGCAAAUGGAAAGAAACUAAUACCAGAACAAUUACAUUUAAGAACAUCUUCCCAAAGGAGAGAUACAUAUUGACGAUCCAAAAUGUUCUUGUGCAUAAUUCAAACAGGAAACAUUAAAACUUAUAACACUUAUUGAAAAUAGUUACUUUCUUCUUUCUAGAAUUCAGAGUUUAGUUAGAAUAAUCAUACAGUACAAAGGCAAAACCUCAUUUCUUCAUUGCCCCCUCCGCUAACCCAAUAAAGAAUAUAAGUAAAUGCUUUACUUGCUUGCAAGAAAACAAAAUGGUUUUAAAAGAGAAGUCCUUCAAACAGGCUGCACACAAAAAAAAAUCCAAGAAAAUACAAAAAGAAGCAGUGAUAACUAGAAAAUUUCAAUUUUCCCAGCAAUUCAAAGUUCGUAUAGAACCAUUUACGAUCACUGAACCAGUCCGAAUAAAUGAACGAAAACAUUGGCCCACCUACUAACAAUCAAGAAGUUUCACUCAUGCACAUCUAUGCAUUAACAAGGGGGAAAAAAUCCAAAACGGCAAGUAAACCGUGCAAGUCGUAAAAUUUAAUCAAACCCAGUAACAAAUCCUGGAAAACAGAAGGAUUAGUACCUACCUGGUAUGCCUUAAGUGACUGAUCAGCUGUCUCUUUCUUCUCAUUACCAGUUUGGAACUCAGCUAGAUACCGAUAAUAAUCACCUUUCCUGAGCCAAAUCCAAAACCCAGUAGCAUAAUUCCAAAGUCGCAAUUAAAAAUCACAGCAUCAAAUAAAAAUAAACAAAUCCACCCCUCACAUCUUAUAGUAAAACACACUAGAUUCCAUAUCACAAGAAGGUAUAAGAUGCUCAUCCAUCAGAGUCAUAAUAUCACUGCAAAUGGUGGACAACUCCGACUCCACCUUGUGCCUGUACUCCUUAAUCCUCUUCACAUUAGCCUCAUUCCCUUUCGACUCUUCCUUCUGCUCCAACGACGACAAGAUCCUCCAAGACGCCCGCCGUGCGCCGACCACAUUCUUGUAACCAACAGACAGCAAGUUCCUCUCCUCGACAGUCAACGCACCAUCAAGCUUCGCCACUUUCUUCAUCUCCUCCACCAUUUCAUCGUAGCGCUCGGCUUGCUCGGCAAGCUUGGCGACGUAGACGAAGGACUCGCGAUCCUUAGAGGAAGAAGCCAUGGAUGAUCUGUUAUGGGACUGCAAUACGGGGGGCUUGCUCCAGGUGAAGAGAAAAUGGAGAGAGCAGGAAAGUCCAAGAGAAUUUUUU